GCCAUUUAAAGUGGUACGCGAGCUGGGUUUAGAACGUCGUGAGACAGUUCGGUCCCUAUCUGCCGUGGGCGCUGGAGAAUUGAGGGGGGCUGCUCCUAGUACGAGAGGACCGGAGUGGACGCAUCACUGGUGUUCGGGUUGUCAUGCCAAUGGCACUGCCCGGUAGCUAAAUGCGGAAGAGAUAAGUGCUGAAAGCAUCUAAGCACGAAACUUGCCCCGAGAUGAGUUCUCCCUGAGACUAUAAGUCUCCUGAAGGAACGUUAAAGACGAUGACGUUGAUAGGCCGGGUGUGUAAGCGCAGCGAUGCGUUGAGCUAACCGGUACUAAUGAACCGUGAGGCUUAACCUUACAACGCCGAAG
RNAcentral lists this ribosomal RNA (360 nucleotides) under Klebsiella pneumoniae. RNAcentral describes it as "partial 23S ribosomal RNA". It matches the Rfam family "Bacterial large subunit ribosomal RNA", at positions 2583 to 2925 of the family's 2925-position model. The record is from RNAcentral. Lineage: Bacteria; Pseudomonadati; Pseudomonadota; Gammaproteobacteria; Enterobacterales; Enterobacteriaceae.